CCUACGGGCGGCAGCAGUGAGGAAUAUUGGUCAAUGGACGCAAGUCUGAACCAGCCAUGCCGCGUGCAGGAAGACGGUCCUAUGGAUUGUAAACCUCUUUUGUCGGGGAGCAAAAGACGCCACGCGUGGCGUUCCGAGAGUCCCCGAAGAAAAAGCAUCCGCAAACUCCGUGCCAGCAGCCGCGGUAAUACGGAGGAUGCGAGGGUUACCCGGAUUUAUUGGGUUUAAAGGGUGCGCAGGCGGAAGAGCAAGUCAGAGGUAAAAUUGAGAGGCUCAACCUCUUCGUGCCGUUGAAACUGGUUGUCUUGAGUGAGCGAGAAGUAUGCGGAAUGCGUGGUGUAGCGGUGAAAUGCAUAGAUAUCACGCAGAACUCCGAUUGCGAAGGCAGCAUACUGGCGUGCAACUGACGCUCAUGCACGAAAGUGUGGGUAUCGAACAGGAUUAGAUACCCGAGUAGUC
Molecule: ribosomal RNA, 459 nt
Filed under: uncultured bacterium
Lineage: Bacteria
Description: partial 16S ribosomal RNA
Rfam family: Bacterial small subunit ribosomal RNA
Source: RNAcentral